This 498-nucleotide ribosomal RNA is filed under the name uncultured bacterium. RNAcentral's name for it is "partial 16S ribosomal RNA". It matches the Rfam family "Bacterial small subunit ribosomal RNA", at positions 30 to 523 of the family's 1533-position model. The record is from RNAcentral.
AUUGAACGCUGGCGGCAUGCCUUACACAUGCAAGUCGAACGGUAACAGGUCUUCGGAUGCUGACGAGUGGCGAACGGGUGAGUAAUACAUCGGAACGUGCCUAGUAGUGGGGGAUAACUACUCGAAAGAGUGGCUAAUACCGCAUGAGAUCUACGGAUGAAAGCAGGGGAUCGCAAGACCUUGUGCUACUAGAGCGGCCGAUGGCAGAUAAGGUAGUUGGUGGGAUAAAAGCUUACCAAGCCGACGAUCUGUAGCUGGUCUGUGAGGACGAUCAGCCACACGGGUACUGAGAAACGGCCCAGACUCCUGCGGGAGGCAGCAGUGGGGAAUUUUGGACAAUGGGCGCAAGCCUGAUCCAGCAAUGACGCAUGCAGGAUGAAGGCCUUCGGAUUGUAAUCUGCUUUUGUACGGAGCGAAAAGCCCCGGGUUAAUACCCUGGGGUCAUGACGGUACCGUAAGAAUAAGCACCGGCUAACUACGUGCCAGCAGCCGCCGUAA